This is a long non-coding RNA of Dreissena polymorpha, 2287 nucleotides long. RefSeq lists it as uncharacterized. The record is from RefSeq and is a predicted model, not a curated record. The transcript is spliced from 3 exons. NCBI's taxonomy places the organism in Eukaryota, Metazoa, Mollusca, Bivalvia, Myida, Dreissenidae.
GGCUUUGGAAGUAAACAAAAUAAAGUAUGUCAACUAAAUUUAUAUCACAUAAUGUUAUAAAAUACCUUUCAUUUAAUAAAUAUAUUUGUCAUAUUACUUUUUAUGUAAAUAUGCGUUUGAAAUAUUUGACUUUAAAAUAUAUUCAGUCCUGUAUGAUCAUACAAAUAGGCGCGCGACAAAGCUGUAUUGACUCAAUUUCGAAAUUAUCAAGGUAAGCCAUUUGUCUGUAUUGGGUGGCCGAAACCGCGCUGAUGUGUGCCGGCGCAUUCUGAAGCAUUGCAUUUCAAAUGAGGUGGCCAACCAGUACAGCUGGCAUGGGAGGAAGAAAAAGGCAGUAUUUGGAAAACUUCCAUUGGCUGAUGCUGUGCAGAAAUCUGUCAUGCGGUCCUUGAAAUGCACAGCUGCAGAAGUUGAACAUGAGUGCAGGGAAUGGUUUAGAACAGCCUCUGACCGUGACGGUGGAAGAAAACAGAGGACAGCCAAAAAAAGUGAUGAACCGUCUUAAUGAAUUUUAACUCGUGUGUGUUUUAACUUUUAAUUUAGUCUCCUGCUGCAAUUUGUUAUGAUGUAAAGGUCUCUUUGAACUUGAAAUUAAUUAUUUUACACAACUUUUCUUUUAAUAUGCAUAAUGAUGGAAGCAGUGUAUAUAUUUUUUUGUUUGUUUUUUUGCCUUUAUUACCUAAAUAGCUGUAACUCUGUGUGUUACUUAGGUAAACGUAACUUUUCAAUAUAGUCUUGUUCUAAUUGUUUUCAUUUGUUUUUUUUGAAGAAAACAAGUUUCAUGUAGUUUGUAUUAAUAUUGAAGACAAUAUUCUCGUAAUAUUUUUUAUUCAAAACUUUCUUGAAAUGCCCAUAAUUUAUGUCUAAGUUCAGGGGACAUACAAGGUGUUUAUUUCUGAAAAUACUCAAUUAUAAAAACCAAUUCCCUCAAUUCAUUUUGAAUUUGAUAAGUGACAGAACUCAAUUAUUUUUAUUUUCAAGUGAUCAUUUCCUGGUGAAAACAACAAAUACUUUUAAUAUAAGUUAGUUUAAGGUAUUUAUAACCAUAUGUAAAUAAGUCCCAGUAAACUACUCAAUUAUAUAUCAUUCAGCAAUCUAUUGCUCUGUCCUACUGCAGUGUAUUCAUUAACAAAUACUGGCUGCUUUAUACUGCAUAACAUUAUUAGUUCUCUUUAAAGGAAUGGUCUGACUUAAUGGCUUUUUUUUCAGUAUUUUGGGAAUGUGACCCCAUUCCAUGAAAUUGGGAAAUGUUGUGUCAAUAUAUAUAUUUACCUGCAGUUCAGAAAAAGUACAACUGAUUAACUACAAGUCUUAUUCCACAUUUCACAGCUAGUAUUUACCAUUUAAGACUAUUCAACAAUAAGGAAUUGCUUGACUUGAUUUAGGGGAAAAAAAUGUGUUCUGCCAUUGAGAACAUGGCCCAUUACCUUAAAGUGAGCUUUCUAGUAACUUGUACAUUUACAUUUUGUGCCAUUACUAUGUUGUGUUUUUUUUGCUGGAUAGCAAUUUGCUGAAUUUACUUGUUACAAUUUUUUUGUGUAUCGUAUGACUGCUAUGUUGUAUUUUGCUGACAAGUCUUGUUACUAUUUUUUGUGUAUCAUAUGACUACAUUGUUGUAUUUUGCUGACUAGUCUAGUAACUAUUUUUUGUAUAUCAUAUGACUACAUUGUUGUAUUUUGCUGACUAGUCUUACUUGUUACUAUUUAUUGUGUAUCGUAUGACUACUAUGUUGUAUUUUGCUGACUAGUCUUACUUGUUACUAUUUUUUGUGUAUCGUAUGACUACUAUGUUGUAUUUUGCUGACUAGUCUUAUUUGUUACUAUUUUUUGUGUAUCGUAUGACUACUAUGUUGUAUUUUGCUAACUAGUCUUAAUUGUUACUAUUUUAUGGGUAUCGUACAUUAUCCAGUUUAAAGAAAGGGUUAUUUUAUUAAUUGCCAGGGUAUAUAGACCAGUUUUGAUAAUAUGGGUGAUAUGAACCAUUUAUACAUGCAUGUUUGGUAAUUUUCCAUGUAUACAAUAUGCGUGUUGGAUACGUUGGUUUUCUUCAUAAUUCUCUAUUUGAUUUUCAUUUGCUGAAUAUUCUAUUACCAAAAUACAAAACUCAAGUCAUUUGGUCAUUUAACAUUUUGUUUCAAUGUGUUACUUUUUCAGUUUCUGUACCUGUAGAAUUAUAGAGACUGUUUAAAUAAUUUCUUUUACAUUUGUUGUUAGUCAAUGUAUAUAUUAAUUAAUUUUACACCAUUAGAAUAAAAAUGUUGGAAUUAGUAAUAAAUCAGUUUAAUAUU